AACACUGUUAACCUGCGGUACCUGCGGAGGGAUCAUUACCACACCCAAAAACAAACAGAAGUCUCUGAGGCUAGCUCCGGCUGCCGAAGGACUGAUGUUGACCCGUGAAACCCCGCGUCAGUGUUGGAGUAGUUGACUUCCUAGGGCACUUGUGCUCCGUUGGUCGCAGCGAAACAGCACGUCGCACCUUUUUUAACUCCGCUGGAGGUCGAACUCGCCUUCGGGCAUGCUGAGACCGAU
This 240-nucleotide unclassified non-coding RNA is filed under the name soil metagenome. RNAcentral's name for it is "partial contains 5.8S ribosomal RNA, internal transcribed spacer 2, and large subunit ribosomal RNA". The record is from RNAcentral.